UGAACGAGGAUGACACUAAUAAACAUGCCAAGCUGGAUGAGGAAAAGCCCAAAGGCUGCAACUUUACACAAAGAACUAUAGGCAACUGAGAAAAGAUGGGAGUAUGAGAGGUGAUCUUUCCCAGGGGACGACAAGACAAUUGGUUCAGUGUCAAAUAGUUAUCCCUGAGAACACCUGAGUAAUCUGAUGGACUGUGUACAUGCAAAGGAACUGAGGCUCUGAGAAGGUGUCUGACUACCUGAGCUGAUCACCGAGACCCAGGCCAUAGGAUGUGGUCACUGGAAGCCAGGGAUCAAUACCUCCCUUUCCAGGAUGUUUCCUUUCUUUUCCAAGGAAUAAACAUGAAGCAUCACUUGUUGAUAAACGUGAGUUGAACUUGACAUAUCAGAACAAUGCAAAGAAGGAAUGAAUAUGAGCAACAGUUACCACGGCAACAGCCUGUCUCUAUCUGCCCAGGUGUUUUGCAUGUAUCUUCUCUGAUCUUCACAAUAGUACACAUUACUCAACAGGAACCAGCAAGGACUGAGAGGUUAGGAAAAUUACCUCCAGCCUUAGAGGAAGGACAAGAAUUUAGCCUGCUUUUGUCUCUGAAUAGACACAAUUCUUUUAGGUGCUCAUUACUGCCUUUGUUCUUUCAAGCCCCAUCAUCAUUCUGUCAGCUAAACUUAAGUAACAACAUUUCAUUUCAAGCAGAAUUCAGUGGAAGGCAAGUGUUAGUUAGCAGUGUGACUCUUCAUCAAUAU
This is a long non-coding RNA of Mus musculus (house mouse), 743 nucleotides long. RefSeq annotates it as predicted gene, 31046. The record is from RefSeq and is a predicted model, not a curated record. The transcript has 3 exons. NCBI's taxonomy places the organism in Eukaryota, Metazoa, Chordata, Mammalia, Rodentia, Muridae.